Oncorhynchus keta (chum salmon) is the source of this 583-nucleotide long non-coding RNA. RefSeq lists it as uncharacterized. The record is from RefSeq and is a predicted model, not a curated record. The transcript is spliced from 3 exons. Lineage: Eukaryota; Metazoa; Chordata; Actinopteri; Salmoniformes; Salmonidae.
UGUAACAGGUGGGUCUGGACAGAGUGAUGUAGUUGAUGGGGGUGUAACAGGUGGGUCUGGACAGAGUGAUGUAGUUGAUGGGGGUGUAACAGGUGGGUCUGGACAGAGUGAUGUAGUUGAUGGGGGUGUAACAGGUGGGUCUGGACAGAGUGAUGUAGUUGAUGGGGGUGUAACAGGUGGGUCUGGACAGAGUGAUGUAGUUGAUGAGGGUGUAACAGGUGGGUCUGUACAGUGUGAUGUAGUUGAUGAAGAUGGGGGUGUAACAGGUGGGUCUGGACAGAGUGAUGUAGUUGAUGAAGAUGGGGGUGUAACAGGUGGGUAUGGACAGGGUGAUGUAGUUGAUGAAGAUGGGGGUGUAACAGGUGGGUCUGGACAGAGUGAUGUAGUUGAUGAAGAUGGGGGUGUAACAGGUGGGUAUGGACAGAGUGAUGUAGUUGAUGAAGAUGGGGGUGUAACAGGUGGGUCUGGACAGAGUGAUGUAGUUGAUGAAGAUGGGGGUGUAACAGGUGGGUAUGGACAGAGUGAUGUAGUUGAUGAAGAUGGGGGUGUAACAGGUGGGUCUGGACAGAGUGAUGUAGUUGAU